GGCCCUGUGGCGUAGUGGAUAUCGCGUCUGUUCUGUUUCAGUUCAGAAACCCCCAGGUUCGAUUCCUGGCAGGGCCA
Molecule: transfer RNA, 77 nt
Filed under: Heliconius melpomene (postman butterfly)
Lineage: Eukaryota; Metazoa; Arthropoda; Insecta; Lepidoptera; Nymphalidae
Description: tRNA HMEL012194
Rfam family: tRNA
About the family: Transfer RNA (tRNA) molecules are approximately 80 nucleotides in length. Their secondary structure includes four short double-helical elements and three loops (D, anti-codon, and T loops).
Source: RNAcentral